AGAAUUCCCUCUCAGUACAGAGAGGCCUUCAUUCUUUCUGUGCAUGUAGGAUCAUCCCUUGCGAGGUGUCUGUCGCUUACUUAAUCCACUGUCUUGUUGAUGUGUGUCAAGGUCUUCAGUAUUUAUUAGGUCAGUGCUGCAGUGAAGCAGCUUUUGUAGACUUCGCGUUGCGCAUGCGCAACAUCAACUUGAGGGAUCUCUGCAUUGAGGGGCAAGCACGCUGGUGACUUCUGGACAUUGCCCAGCAGCCCACCAUAGUAGUGGGGGAUAUGCAGCCUCCCCAGCACUGAGGAGGAAGACCUGUUUCUCCACAUCCUUGGCCACCCAGCCAGGUAGCUGCCAUGUGGAUUUUGCCAAACAAGAUAGGGAUGAGGUGGAUCCAAGAGCAGAAAUGACAAAGCAGUGUGUCCCCUGGAGCCUGGACCUGGGAUAGUCGGUCUCCUUUCUGUCUCUUCUAUCUGCAUAUGUUGCUUUGGGCUCUUCCCUCAGCCCCAGCUUCCACACUCCCCCCUCCCCUAGUGCUAUGGUCUGAAUGUUUUUGUGUUCCCCUCCCCACAGCUUUGACAUGUUGAAAUGCUAGCCCCCAAGCUGCUGGCAUUAAGAGGUGGGGCACUGGGGAGAUGAUCAGGUUAUAAGGGCAAAUCCGUCAUAAAUGGAUUAGUGCCCUUAUAAAAGAGGCCUCAGAGAGCAGCCUUGCCCCUUCCACCAUGUGAGAACACAAUGAAAUGAUGACCAUCUAUGGAGCAAGGAACUGGUCCCUCACUAGAACCCAACUAUGCUGGUAUCAGCUGGGGACUUCCUAGCCUCCAGAACUGUAAGACAUACAUUUAUGUUGUUUAUGAGUCCCCAAUCUGCGGUAUUUUGUUAGAGCAGCCCAAAUGGAUUAAGACAGAAAACUGGCACCGAACAUUUUGGGUGCUACUCUAACAAAUACAACGUGGAAGAAGCUUGGGAACUGGGUAAUGGGUAGAGGCUAGAAGAGUUCUGAAGUGCAGGCUAGAAAAAGCCUGUGUUGCCAUGAACAGACAAUUUUUUCUUUUUUUUUUUUUGAGAUGGAGUCCUGCUCUGUCACCCAGGCAGGAGUGCAGUGGCGCGAUCUCUGCUCACUGCAACCUCAGCCUCCUGAGUAGCGGAGAUUACAGACGUGCACCACCACACCUGGCUAAUUUUUGUAUUUUUAGUAGAGACAGGGUUUUGCCAUUUUGGCUAGCUAGGCUGGUCUGGAACUCCUGACGUCAGGUGAUCUGCCAGCCUCAGCCUCCCAGAGUGCUGGGAUUACAAGUGUGAGCCACCAUGCCCAGCCCGUGAACAGACUAUUACGGGUGAUUUCUAGUGAGGCUCCAAAAGAAAAGAGGAGAUUUGAAAUCCUCAACCAGAAUGUUGGUAAAAAUGUGAACAGUAAAGCUAUUCUGAUGAGAUCCCAGAUGGAAAUGAGAAACGUGUGGUUGGCAAUGGAGGAAAGGCCAUCCUUAUACUGGCCAAUCCCUUGGCUGAACUGUGCUUAUGUAUUAGUGUUUUGUGGAAGGUAGAACUUAUGAGCCACUGCAAUUGGAUAUUUGGCUGCAGAAAUAUCUAAGCAAGGUUUUGAAGGUGCAGCUUGUGAAAUGUGAAAAGAGAGAAGUGAUUUAAAGAUGGGAUUGUUAAUUAAAAGGGGAGCAGAACUUAAAGAUCGGGAAUAUUUGUCAGCCUAUGUUGAUAAGAGUGGGCCAGCCUGUUUAGGAGAGAAGAUAAAGGUUUUGCCAUUGAAACUGAGGCUAGGAGCUAGUCCAAGAAAAUGGAAAAAUGACCCCAAAGGCAAUUCAGAAAUCAUCAGGGCUCUUCUGCCCAUCACAGGCCCAGAGCGCAAGACCCACAGCAAGCAGGGGACCACAGCAGAGAGCCCCGCUUCAGUCACCCCUGAAGCCCUAGAAGGUGGGGCCAUCAGCGAAGUUCCAGCCCAAGAGAGCCUUGGGCCUCUGAAAGAGACAGAGGUGGGGCCACCACAGAGAACCACCUCGAGGGCAGGCCCUCACCAGGGGCUGCCAUGAGGCGAGACCACCAAAAGCCAGGGGCAGGGCCACCCAGGGCCUUGGGGGCUCAACUCCUGCCCAGUGAAGCUGCCACCUGUGGGUUUGGAAGGCAGGGUCACCUCCCAACACAGUGGGCCUGGGGAGCACAGCAUCAAGACAAAAAGGAUUAUUCUCCAGAUUAUUCUCAAGCUGUAAACCAUAAUGUGCUGUGACUCGUAGGUUUAGGACUUGCUUGGGACCUGUUACUCCUUUUCUUUUUUUCUAUUUCCCAUUUUUGGAAUUGGAAUGUUUAUCCUGUGCCCGCCUCACCACUGUAUAUAUGUGUGUGUGUGUGUCUGUGUGUGUGUGUGUGUGUGUGUGUUUUGUUUUGUUUUUUUUAAGACGGAGUCUCACCCUGUUGCCCAGGGUGGAGUGCAGUGGCAUGAUCUCAGCUCACUGCAGACUCCACCUGCCGGGUUCGAAUGAUUCUCCUGCCUCAGCCUCCCAAGUAGCUGGGAUUACAGGCGCCCGCCACCACGCCCAGCUACUUUUUUUAUUUUUGGUAGAGAUGAGGUUUCACCACGUUGGCCAGGCUGGUCUCAAACUCCCGACCUCAGGUGAUCUGCCUGCCUCGGCCUCCCAAGGUGCUGGGAUUACAGGUGUGAGCCACUGCGCCGGCCUCACCACUAUAUUUGGAAGGCACAUAACUUGUUUCAUUUCACAGGUUCACAGCUGGAGAGAAUUUUGUCUCAGGUAGAAUUGUGCCUUGAGUUUCAACCGUAAUUGAUUUAGAUGAUAUUUAAAUGAGAUGUUGGACUCCGGACUUUUGAGUUGAUGCUGGAAUGAAUUAAGACUUUGGGGGUUAUUGGGAUGGAAUGAAUUUGUUUGGCAUGUGAAAAGGAUAUGAAUUUGGGGGAACCAGGGGCAGAAUGCUAUGGUUUCCGUGUUUAUAUCUCCCCAAAAUUUGUGUUGAAAUUGUAGUCCCCAAGAUGAUGGUAUUAGGAAGUGGAGCCUUUUGGGGAGAUGAUCUGGUAACAAGGGCAAAGCCCUCAUGAGUGGGAUUAGUCCCUCCUAAAAGAGGCCCCAGAGAACUCCCUUGCCCUCUCCAUCAUGUGAGGACAUAGAAGAUGCCUGUCUUUUAACCAAGAAGUGGGCCCUUACCAGACACCCAGCCUGUUGGCACCUUGAUCUUGGACGUCCAGCCUCCAGAACUGUGAGGAACAGAUUUCUGUUGCGUAGAAACUGCCCGUCCUACAGCGUUGUGUUGUCACAGCCUCAAUGGACUAAGACAGACACCUAGCUUGUCCUGGACUGAGGCAUCCCUGUUCUCCUGUGCUUUCAGAAUCGGGUUUCUCCAUUCAAGGACAUGAUUUUAUGCUUCUCUGAAGAGGAUUGGUCCCUUCUAGAUCCUGCCCAGACUGGCUUCUACGGAGAGUUCAUCAUUGGGGAGGAUUACGGGGUCUCAAUGCCUCCAAGUAAGACUUAACUUUCUCCCGUACCUCAAGGCCAGGGAACUGGGCAGGGGAGUUCUCUCUUGAAGUAAGAGUCAACUUCGUCCCAUAAGAUCAGGGAAGCGGGGCCUGCAUCAGAUCUCUUUGUUCACCCCCAACCUGGACAGGAGGUCAUUUGCACACAGCGGCCCUACAGGCAGUGUGUCUGAUUGACCAUCACCUGCUGUCUCACCACAUCAGGCUUAUCAGAACCAAAUAGAACAUGUGCUGUAUGUCCAUUUCUCUUCCAUCGUUCUUACCCUUUUGUCCCUUUAUGUCUGCUUUACACCCGAAAGCCUCAGAGAGACCCCCAAGCCCAUAGCUCUCCCUGCGUGUGCUGCCCCCACUGCCCCUGCACUGCCAGCUGUGGCCUUUUCACUUCUUGCCCUGAUGGUGCCAUGCCCGCUGGGCAUCCCUCCACCUUCUCUCUUCUGGACCAGCCCUGGUUGCUGCAGGAUCAGAAUACUAAUAAACAUGUACCCUGCCUUUUUCUUUGAACAGACGACCUAGCUGCCCAGCCAGAUCUGUCCCAGGGAGAGGAGAAUGAGCCACGCGUUCCAGAGUUGCAGGAUCUCCAGGGCAAAGAAGUGCCCCAGGUCUCCUACUUGGGUGAGUAAUGAUUCCAGAACUGAGUGGGCAGAGUAGGGGGAAGGGUUGCUGGCAGCCAGAGGUGAGCCCACUCGCUGGCUUCUCUCUGCGGCCCGUAAUUGCCUUCUUCAUGUCCCCAGACUCUAUGUGGGUCUUGCGUGUCUUGUCUUGUCCCUGACUUUUCAUAGAAAGAAUGGGGGAUCUUAAUUUUGCCAGGCAUUGGGAUUGUACUCCCUUGGCCAAGGACUGGGAAAUAAUAGGAAUGUCUUUCUCCUCUGCCUGUAAGUAACAUCUGGUUUGUGCUGACAAUGCAGCGGCCCCUCCAGGAGUGAGGUCAGAUACUCAUAAGAAGCCUAGUUGCAGAGGGAGUGUCUCCUCCUAACUGGGCACCGAGCACAGCCCUUUAAGGUGUCUCACCUGUCUAGUCUUCCCAUCUGCCUGGUACAGGGGUGCUGUGAGGACACUGGGGUGUGGGGAGGUGCUGAGGCUCAGCAGCAGCAGUUUCCAGCCCUCCUUCAGGCUGUGUCACCAGCACUUGCACCCAUGAUCUCCAUGCCAUGGUGCUUCGAAGCAUCUGCUCCUUCAGGAGGAAAUAGCUUUGUACAGAAUCAUCAGCAGCUCCACACCUCCUUCCCCUUUGGGACCUAGAGCUGGCAUGAAGCAGACAAGGUUUUGACGCACCAUCCCCACCUGGAACAAGCGUUCAGAGACUUGGCAUGGCGCAGUAGCUCCUGUCCCGUCUCUACCCUGUAGGCUCUGCACAAGCUGUUUGUGCAGGAUGUGUGGAGUGUGCAGGAGCCUGUGGUGAUGACUGUAGAAAACCCACCACAGAAAGUGGGAAUAAAUGCAGGGCUGGGGGAGGUGCUUGUCUCUGGCCAUAGAGUAGGUGGAGUAGAACCCGGAUCUGCGUCGAUUCUGUCUGGCUUCAGAGCUCAUGUUUGUGGAGUUGGCCCAUUUUGCCUUCAGGUUCAUUGACUCAUCAGACACUUACUGAGUGGCCACCCCCUGCCAGUCCCCAGGAGGGAGCCCAAGGCCGCCCCCACAUCGUAGCCUGGCAUCUAUUCGGAUAGCACCCUCCCAGGUAGUGCUGUAGGUGCAAGACAAAUCAAUUUUUCCAUUUCCUCCUCUGGAAAGACUCUCCAAGUCUCCAGCCAUCCCAGGUAGAAGAAAGAAGGAAACGUGAGGAGCUGCAGGUGCCAGAGUUCCAGGCCUGCACACAGACGGUGGUGCCUCAAAACACCUACCCAGCUGGCGGCAACCCGCGAUCUCUAGAGAACAGCCUGGACGAAGAAGUGACCAUCGAGAUCGUUCUGUCCAGCUCUGGGGAUGAGGACUCCCAGCACGGCCCGUACUGCACAGAAGAGCUGGGGAGCCCCACAGAGAAGCAGCGCAGCCUCCCCGCCUCCCACCGGAGCAGUGCCGAGGCCGGAGGCGAGGUGCAGACCUCCAAGAAGUCCUACGUGUGUCCAAACUGUGGGAAAAUCUUCCGCUGGAGGGUCAACUUCAUCCGGCACCUGCGGAGCCGCAGAGAGCAGGAGAAGCCGCACGAGUGCUCGGUGUGCGGGGAGCUGUUCAGUGACAGCGAGGACCUGGAUGGGCACCUAGAGAGCCAUGAGGCCCAGAAGCCUUACCGGUGUGGUGCCUGCGGGAAGAGCUUCCGCCUCAACUCCCACCUGCUCUCCCACCGGCGGAUACACCUGCAGCCGGACAGACUCCAGCCGGUGGAGAAGAGAGAGCAGGAGGCAUCCGAGGACGCGGACAAGGGUCCCAAAGAGCCGCUGGAAAACGGCAAGGCCAAACUGAGCUUCCAGUGCUGUGACUGUGGGAAGGCCUUCCAGCGGCACGACCACCUGGCUCGGCACCGCAGCCACUUUCACCUGAACGACAAAGCCCGGCCCUUCCAGUGCCGCUACUGCGUCAAGAGCUUCCCGCAGAACUAUGACCUCCUCCGCCACGAGCGCCUGCACAUGAAGCGCCGUUCCAAGCAGGCUCUGAACUCCUACUGAGCCUCCCCGCCUGGGGCGGCCUCACCCUGGCUGGUGCUGCCCCCUCACCUUGGUACUGAUCAGCGCCCCCACCCAGGACGCACCUUCCCCAGGAUAGAGAGCACACCUCCCUCCUGUCCUUGCUCUCAGGUAGUGAGCGUUCGGGUGGUGCCAUGGGAGCACUCUCCCUCCCCCAGGUAAUGAACGAGUGGCCAAGUGAGUGUUCUGUUUCUGCUGUGCCAAAAAACGGGGGAGAUGUGCCACCACCAGGUUGGACAUGCCAGGCGUUCUGUGUCUUAGAGACCCUCGGCCCAUGCUCCCCAAGCUCGGGGAGUAAAACGGCUAUCCCCCGUCAGGGCAGCACCCUGGUCACCAGCCAAACCUCAGUAUACUCCCUCCCCUCCUUCCCUGUCUGAACGCUAGGAUCCGCUCCUGAAGCUCCAGGGUGCCUGCACUUCCACUGAGAAGCUGCUGGUGGGUGUUGGACUGGAGGAAGGAAGAAGGCAGGGUGGGACUGAUGGGCUCAGUGGGGAUCAGGGCCAGGCACACUGAGCCCGACAUGUCAUGUCUGAGCCCCAGAUUCGUGGCCAUCAGGCAGGCAGGAGCGCCCCGCAGAUCCAAGAUGAUCAGGCAGCCCUUUUGGGCUGGUGUCUGUGGCAGGGGUCUGCAGAGCUCCUUCUUGAGGUUUGGAAACAGUCAUCAUACCUGUUGAUUUUCCUGGGGGCCAGUUACUAGGGAUCUGGAGCUCACCAAAAACAAAGCUUACAUUUUAAUUUGUGUUGCACACCCACCCCAUAAUGUCUUUAUACCCCAAAGAUCCUUGGUAAAUGCUUGUGGGUUGGAAGCUGAGUUGUCAUCGUUUAAAAGGCACUUAAGUCCCUUCUUCCAAUCUGUCCUGUCUAGGAAUGUGGAGCUCUGCCCUCAGUGAGGGGUUCUCCUGUCUGGGUGAGCCAAGCUCCAGAACAGAACCUUGCCCAACGUCACACUUUAUAUAUACAUUAGCUUGGAGUGCUGGUGUGUCCGUUUUCUAGGUCUGUUGUUAACAAAGUACUAAACACUGGCUGGCUUAGAACAACAGGAGUGUAUUCCCUGACAGUUCUGGGAGCUGCACGUCCAAGAUCAGGGUGUCCUCCGAGUUGGUGCCUUCCGAGAGCUGUGCGGGAGAAGCGGCUUCGUGCCUUUGCUGGCAGUUGCCAUUCCUUGGUGUGUGGAAGCGUCACCCAGUCUCUGCCUUCAUCUCCACAUGUCUCCAAACCUCCCUUUGUUUAAGGACACAGUCAUAUCGGAUUAGAGCCCAUCCCACCGACUCCAGUAUAACCUCAUCUGUAUCCGCAGCAAUUGUUUACCAAUAAGGUCACAUUCUGAGGUACUAGAGGUUGGGACUUCAACAUUGGAAUUUGAAAGGGAUAGCAUUCAGCCCACAACUCCAGAUAAACGUCAGGUAUGCUAUCAUUCAUAAUUUACAGAUGAGUCAAUACAAACUUGAGUGAGCUUGCUCACAAUUCCAUCAAAGGCAGGGUUCAGACCCAAGUUUCAGCAUUCAGGGCAGGUGUCCUCUGCAUGGAAGAAUCUUACUCAGUAGCCCUAAACGCUGACAUUCCCCUUCCUCCCUGCCUUCUGAUGCGGGCUGGGCAGGCCAGCUGGAGCUGUGUCUCCUGCUGGGAUUCUGGACUGAGAGUGACAGUAGGUAGUGAAACCUCAAGCAAUUUAAAACAUGGUAUUGUUCCUGGAAGACUGGUUAUGUUGGCUAGGGUCAGCAAGAGAGGGCAUUAAGGCUGUAGUCUAGCAGUGACUUAAUCUGCAAGUCAAACCAGACGGGUAUUUUGUAUGAUUCAUAUGUCACAUCCUACCAACAGACAGUAAGCCAGGCAAGGCUCCUGGUGCUCCUUGUCACUCAUGUAAUUUUCACAUCAAGAAAACUCUGGGCUGGGUGCAGUGGCUCACACUUGUAAUCCCAGCACUUUGGGAAACCGAGGUGGGUGGAUCGCCCAGCUCAGUGACACCAGCCUGGGCCACAUGGCAAAACCCCCGUCUCUACCAAAAAUACAAAAAAUUAGCUGGGUGUGGUGUUGACGUUUGCGGUCCCAGCUACUCUGGAGGCUGAGGUGGGAGGAUUGCUUGAGUGUGGGAGGCAGAAGUUGCAGUAAGCCGAGAUCGUGCCACUGCACAAGCUAGGUGACAGAAUGAGACUCUGUCUCAAAAAUAAUUAAAAAGCCUCUGCCCCAAACUCUUUAAAAGAUUUUAUAACCACAACUACUGUUUCUGUGAAGAUGCAUCUGCAUGCCAGGAGCAGUAAAUGCAAUAAAAUCAUUUGGUUAUACUUUGAACACAAAAUAAACAGUUGAGGCUUUUACUUUCUAAAUAGUUUGUCUCUUGUAUCAACAUAUCUGGAAAAGGGAGAAAUCCGAUUUUUAAGGCCAAGGGAGGGGAAAAUUCCAAGUAGAAGCCAGGCUCUCUGUGUGCAUUUACCUCACCUACUUGUGUGCUCCUACCUGUCCUGAGGAUUCUCUCCGUAGCUCUGAGGCCUUGGGAAGGUUAUUCACUUUCCUGCUUCAGACGUCUGACUCAGAGAAGAACAUUGUUCUACUUACCAGAGUGUUUUCUGUGUAAAACCACAUCAUGAAGGAGAAAGCGACAAAGGGAAUGUGAGGGGACUGGAAGCCACAGGGAGGCUGUCCCUCGAGUCCCCACCACCGAUCCAGAGCCAACCAAGGCACCUCAGGAAAUGGAAGGCCACGUUGCCUCUGGCUUUGGAAAUCCUCUUGGGUAGUAUAACUGAAACCCAGGUUGAUGCCAUGCAGCAGGAGCAGCAGGGGGAACCUGCUCUCAGGAGAGGUCUGCCAACCCUCCAGCCCAACACCCUUCACCACAGUGGUGGAGGAGGCUGCACCCAGGAGAUCUUUGUCUCCCUUUUGGCCACUGAUACCUUUGGCCUUAUCUGACAACAGCUACCCCUCAGUCCUUCCCUCCCACCCCAGGGGCUGGGCAGCUGGCUGGAGCUUUGUGUCCACCUUGCUCUGGAGGUUGAGACCCCCAUCUGAGCAACAUCCUCCCUCUUCAUUCUUCUGAUCCUUUGGCAUCGCCACAAACCCACAGGUGCAUAAUAGAAACUCGCUGAGUCAAUAU
RNAcentral lists this small RNA (9177 nucleotides) under Pongo abelii (Sumatran orangutan). RNAcentral's name for it is "processed transcript". Lineage: Eukaryota; Metazoa; Chordata; Mammalia; Primates; Hominidae. The record is from RNAcentral.